CGUGUAGGCGGCCAAGCAAGUCGGACGUGAAAGCCCUCGGCUUAACCGAGGAAGUGCGCCCGAAACUACGUGGCUUGAGUACCGGAUAGGGAGGUGGAAUUCCCGGUGUAGAGGUGAAAUUCGUAGAUAUCGGGAGGAACACCGGUGGCGAAGGCGGCCUCCUGGACGGAUACUGACGCUGAGACGCGAAAGCGUGGGUAGCAAACAGGAUUAGAUACCCUGGUAGUCCACGCCGUAAACGUUGGGCACUAGGUGUGGCGGGUGUUAACCCUGCCGUGCCGCAGCUAACGCAUUAAGUGCCCGCCUGGGGAGUACGGCCGCAAGGCUAAA
Molecule: ribosomal RNA, 330 nt
Filed under: uncultured bacterium
Lineage: Bacteria
Description: bacterial SSU rRNA
Rfam family: Bacterial small subunit ribosomal RNA
Source: RNAcentral